CAGCAGCCACGGGAAUACGAAGGGUGCAAGCGUUAAUCGGAAUUACUGGGCGUAAAGCGUGCGUAGGCGGUUCGUUAAGUCUGCUGUGAAAUCCCCGGGCUCAACCUGGGAAUGGCAGUGGAUACUGGCAAGCUAGAGUGUGUCAGAGGAUGGUGGAAUUCCCGGUGUAGCGGUGAAAUGCGUAGAGAUCGGGAGGAACAUCAGUGGCGAAGGCGGCCAUCUGGGACAACACUGACGCUGAGGCACGAAAGCGUGGGGAGCAAACAGGAUUAGAUACCCCAGUAGUCCCUGUCUCUUAUAC
Molecule: ribosomal RNA, 301 nt
Filed under: uncultured bacterium
Lineage: Bacteria
Description: partial 16S ribosomal RNA
Rfam family: Bacterial small subunit ribosomal RNA
Source: RNAcentral